RNAcentral lists this ribosomal RNA (484 nucleotides) under uncultured bacterium. Its description in RNAcentral is "bacterial SSU rRNA". It matches the Rfam family "Bacterial small subunit ribosomal RNA", at positions 64 to 524 of the family's 1533-position model. The record is from RNAcentral.
AAAUACAACAGAACCUUCGGGUGACGUUGUAUGGAUCGAGCGGCGAACGGGUGAGUAACACGUGGGCAACCUGCCUACAAGACUGGGAUAACUCCGGGAAACCGGGGCUAAUACCGGAUAAUCCAUCGAACCGCAUGGUUCGGUGUUGAAAGAUGGCUUUUAGCUAUCACUUGUAGAUGGGCCCGCGGCGCAUUAGCUAGUUGGUAGGGUAAUGGCCUACCAAGGCAACGAUGCGUAGCCGACCUGAGAGGGUGAUCGGCCACACUGGGACUGAAACACGGCCCAGACUCCUACGGGAGGCAGCAGUAGGGAAUCUUCCGCAAUGGACGAAAGUCUGACGGAGCAACGCCGCGUGAACGAUGAAGGUUUUCGGAUCGUAAAGUUCUGUUGUUAGGGAAGAACAAGUACCGUUCGAAUAGGGCGGUACCUUGGCGGUACCUAACGAGAAAGCCCCGGCUAACUACGUGCCAGCAGCCGCGGUAAU